GAUGAACGCUGGCGGCGUGCUUAACACAUGCAAGUCGAACGGGAAUGUUUCGCUGAUGCGAUUUCGGUCAAAUCUUGAAGCAUUUUAGUGGCGGACGGGUGAGUAACGCGUGGGUAACCUGCCCUGUACAGGGGGACAACAGUUGGAAACGACUGCUAAUACCGCAUAAGCGCACAGCUUCGCAUGAAGCAGUGUGAAAAACUCCGGUGGUACAGGAUGGACCCGCGUCUGAUUAGAUAGUUGGUGAGGUAACGGCCCACCAAGUCAACGAUCAGUGGCCGGCCUGAGAGGGCGAACGGCAACAUUGGGACUGAGACACGGCCCAAACUCCUACGGGAGGCAGCAGUGGGGAAUAUUGCACAAUGGGAGAAACCCUGAUGCAGCGACGCCGCGUGAGUGAAGAAGUAUUUCGGUAUGUAAAGCUCUAUCAGCAGGGAAGAAAACAAUGACGGUACCUGACUAAGAGGCCCCGGCUAACUACGUGCCAGCCGCCGCGGUAA
RNAcentral lists this ribosomal RNA (500 nucleotides) under uncultured bacterium. Its description in RNAcentral is "partial 16S ribosomal RNA". It matches the Rfam family "Bacterial small subunit ribosomal RNA", at positions 28 to 523 of the family's 1533-position model. The record is from RNAcentral.